GAUGAACGCUGGCGGCGUGCCUAAUACAUGCAAGUCGAGCGAACAGACGAGGAGCUUGCUCCUCUGACGUUAGCGGCGGACGGGUGAGUAACACGUGGAUAACCUACCUAUAAGACUGGGAUAACAUCGGGAAACCGGAGCUAAUACCGGAUAAUAUAUUGAACCGCAUGGUUCAAUAGUGAAAGACGGUUUUGCUGUCACUUAUAGAUGGAUCCGCGCCGCAUUAGCUAGUUGGUAAGGUAACGGCUUACCAAGGCAACGAUGCGUAGCCGACCUGAGAGGGUGAUCGGCCACACUGGAACUGAGACACGGUCCAGACUCCUACGGGAGGCAGCAGUAGGGAAUCUUCCGCAAUGGGCGAAAGCCUGACGGAGCAACGCCGCGGGAGUGAUGAAGGUCUUCGGAUCUUAAAACUCUGUUAUUAGGGAAGAACAAAUGGGUAAGUAACUAUGCACGUCUUGACGGUACCUAAUCAGAAAGCCACGGCUAACUACGUG
Molecule: ribosomal RNA, 497 nt
Filed under: uncultured bacterium
Lineage: Bacteria
Description: partial 16S ribosomal RNA
Rfam family: Bacterial small subunit ribosomal RNA
Source: RNAcentral